This 1416-nucleotide ribosomal RNA is filed under the name Triticum aestivum (bread wheat). Its description in RNAcentral is "partial small subunit ribosomal RNA". The record is from RNAcentral. Lineage: Eukaryota; Viridiplantae; Streptophyta; Magnoliopsida; Poales; Poaceae.
AAUCGGAGGGUCAGCACCGUCUCCGGUGGAGAGGUGCCGCCGGUGUCGGUCCCUCCGGCGCCGAAGCAACGCAGGGCUCAGACGGUCGGCUCGGUCUCCGGCAGAGAACCCUCGCUGCAGAUGCACGCCACACAACAAGGCAGACCGGCCAGUUCCUCGAAAUCUAGGCCAUCAGCUGCUGCAACCAAAACUGGUGUACAGGCGAAGCCAAAGAAGACCAAAGAGCUGGAAGAAGCUGAGAACGAAAUCAGAAAACUGAACAAAUUGCGCUUGGGAGACGAUAUCAGCAACGAACAGUAUUGUGUUUAUCUUAAUCAGCUGCCUCGCAAGCCUGAUGUCGACGUCUGCACCAAGCUGGAUGCCGUGCAGCUCAAGGAGCUCAAUGUGCGCCAUGCGUUGUAUCGCCGCAAGUAUUAUCAGUGUCUAUAGCUGUCACAACACGUGCCUGAGGAUAAGCUUUGCUAUGAUAAACUGAAGGAGGACUACCCCCCUGGCCAUCGUCCUGUGGGGCAGAGAUCUUUUAAGUGCUCUGAGGAAGAUGGCGAAUUAGAUUGGUCUUUCCACCCUGACUACUGCAAACUUGCUGGCCUGGAGGACUACCAACGGCUGGUCCCUUGAAAUUAUGGUGGUUUUGAGUAUGUCAAUUGGGAUGAGUACCACAAGGAUUGUCAUAGCUAUGAGAUUGAACAAGAAUAUGUCAAAUUCUGUGAAGAAUUGUCCAAGAAACUUAAGUGGAUUGAAGCUUAUGUGUUAAAUAAGCCUCCAUCUCUUAUGUGAGGAAAGAUUUUGACCAGAGGAACUUACCAAGCAAUCAAGAUCGCUACUGACUUCUUGAAGAUAUACGAUGGCUUAGCCUUUACUGGCUUCUACGAGUGGUUAGAUAGCAUGGGUUUUGAUGUGUGUUGCUACAACGAGUUUGAUGGUCUCUAUUACGAGAUUUGGCAAAGGUGCAAGAUGGAGAAGAAAUUCAGAGAUGCUUUGUAUGAAGUCUAUGGACUUAAAAUGUUUCCGUUACGCCAAGAAAGAAUAAGACGUGCACUGGAGAAUGACACAUUCUGCUCCGACUUGGAAGAAGAGGUAAAUUGUUUUCCUUUUGCAGAUCGUUUCCAAAUUCACAUAAUAUUCAUUAUUAUAGGUGUUUUAUAUGCUGAUCUUUUUCAUACUUUUCCUUUUCAGUUUCUUGCUUGCACAGCUUGCCUCGAGGAAGUAAGUGUCGUUCUGUGUGUCUCACACUCUUAAGCCAUGUUUGGAUGCAAAGUGUUUUUAUAGUUUUUUAUGAAUACCAUGAUUUCUGAUAAGAACAAUACUUUGUGGCGUUUAGACCUAGUAAAUACCACAAUUUUACAAGCUGCAGUAUUCCCAAUACUAUGGUAUUUUGGGAGUAUUAAAAAUUUACUCCUGCACUAUUUUCUCUAA